GUACCCUGGUUUCUCUUUAGAUCGCAUAAAUCUUUUGCCUUCUACUAAAGAUUUCUGUGGAGAAAUCAUUGUAUCAGGGUUGGCAGCUACCAUAAUUUUUCUCU
RNAcentral lists this small nuclear RNA (104 nucleotides) under Podarcis lilfordi (Lilford's wall lizard). RNAcentral describes it as "U5 spliceosomal RNA". It matches the Rfam family "U5 spliceosomal RNA", at positions 1 to 97 of the family's 117-position model. From Rfam's summary of the family: U5 RNA is a component of both types of known spliceosome. The precise function of this molecule is unknown, though it is known that the 5' loop is required for splice site selection and p220 binding, and that both the 3' stem-loop and the Sm site are important for Sm protein binding and cap methylation. Lineage: Eukaryota; Metazoa; Chordata; Lepidosauria; Squamata; Lacertidae. The record is from Rfam by way of RNAcentral.